AAAGGAAUGGGAGAAGGAGGAUCGGCUCUCAGUUGAGUAAGCCCCUUUUAAAGAAUUGUCCUGGAAGUCCUGUCCAAAACCCUCCACUUGCACAUUCAUCACUUUUAUGUGGAAGGGAGAAUGGGAGACAUGGUUUUUAAACUAAGCAUAAUGACAUACCCAACGUGGGUCUGUUCUUAAGAAGAAGGGGCCAUUGACACUGGUUAUGCAGUCAGCAUUCUGUCCCACACACGUCCAGUAUGAUCCAGAAGACUGAACCUCAAAGGUGAAUAAUCGAGUGUCCUUAUCCUCAGAAACAAGUCAAGUGGGAGAGUAGCCGCACCGUGUUGUAGUUAGUCGUGUAUGUACAUCUGAGUGUCAUACUGACCAUGUAAACCAAGUGCUACGGGGACACAAAGGAGGGGACGAACUUGUGGAGGUGACAUCCAGCAAGUCUAGCUCUUAAGCAAUGACCCCAUAGCCGGGGAGAAGUCGUCCCAGUCACUUACUUGCCCGCGGAUCUCAUUUCUUGAUACGCCCUAGAAAGAUGCCCUGGAGGGCUUUGAAGAAACGUUAAAACUCGGCCUGGUGGAGAAGGAAGGAAAGGGUUUUCAAAGCAGGGAGAAUGACUAAAGAAAAGUGUGACAUCUCAUGUUCGUGGACGUAGGAGCCCAGGUUGAGUAAUGGCCCCCAGAAGACACCCGUGUCCUGAUCGCCGGAGCCUGAGAAUGUGACCUUAUAUGCAAACAAAGGCUUUGUAGAUAUGACUGAGCUAAGGAUGUCAAGAUGGGGAUUUAUGCUGGAGAUCUGGAUGGGCUCUAAAUGCGAUCCCAUGUAUCUUCAUACUAUGAAGGCAGAGAGAGAUUUCACACUGACAGAAGAGGAGGCAGCCAUGGGACCGCAGAAGCAGAGCCUGGGGCGAUGCAGGCUUGGAACGUCCUGAGCCGCCAGAAGAUGCAAGGAACAAAUUCUCCCUGGCGCUCCCAGAGGAGCACAGCCCGGGCAACGCUUUGAUCUCAACCCCGUGAUACCAAACUUUUGGUCAGACUUUUGGUCUCCAGAACUGUGGGAAAAUAUUCUGCUGUGUGAAGCCCCCGAGUGUGUGGGGAUUGUGACAGCAGCCACAGGAAACUAAUACACCCGUGAACCAUUUGGAAGCACAUUUCUAAGUUUCCCAAUAUAUGUUUGUCCGUUUUUUAUUCUCAUUUUUGUUGAUUUCUGUUCUAAUUGCUUUUACUUAGAAAACAAUUAUUCUUAUGAAAUUGGUUAUUUGAAAUUUGCAGACAAUUCCUUUGUGACCUAUACAUAGUAAAUUUUUAUAAAUA
This 1304-nucleotide long non-coding RNA is filed under the name Equus caballus (horse). Its description in RNAcentral is "lncRNA (ENSECAG00000057792.1)". Lineage: Eukaryota; Metazoa; Chordata; Mammalia; Perissodactyla; Equidae. The record is from RNAcentral.